GUUGUGAGGAAUGUUGGCUGGCUCGAGGCUUUUCGAAACAAAGAUGUUCUUUUUUCUUUUUUUCCUUUUUUUUCAACUUGGAAAAGAAAAAAGAAAAGAAAAGAAAAGAAAAGCAAAGAAGAGAAAAGAAGAGAAAAGAAGAGAGAACUUUUAAGGCUUCGGACCAGGCUUCAUUCCCCUCAAC
Molecule: microRNA precursor, 184 nt
Filed under: Cucumis sativus (cucumber)
Lineage: Eukaryota; Viridiplantae; Streptophyta; Magnoliopsida; Cucurbitales; Cucurbitaceae
Description: mir-166 microRNA precursor family
Rfam family: mir-166 microRNA precursor family
About the family: This family represents the plant microRNA (miRNA) precursor mir-166.
Source: Rfam by way of RNAcentral